This 610-nucleotide ribosomal RNA is filed under the name uncultured bacterium. RNAcentral's name for it is "bacterial SSU rRNA". It matches the Rfam family "Bacterial small subunit ribosomal RNA", at positions 338 to 948 of the family's 1533-position model. The record is from RNAcentral.
CCUACGGGAGGCAGCAGUAAGGAAUAUUGGUCAAUGGACGAAAGUCUGAACCAGCCAUGCCGCGUGAAGGAUUAAGGCCCUCUGGGUUGUAAACUUCUUUUAUCUGGGACGAAAAAAGGGUAUUCUUACUCACUUGACGGUACCAGAGGAAUAAGCACCGGCUAACUCCGUGCCAGCAGCCGCGGUAAUACGGAGGGUGCAAGCGUUAUCCGGAUUUACUGGGUUUAAAGGGUGCGUAGGUGGGUCUGUAAGUCAGUGGUGAAAUCUCCGAGCUUAACUCGGAAACUGCCAUUGAUACUAUAGGUCUUGAAUUAUCUGGAGGUAAGCGGAAUAUGUCAUGUAGCGGUGAAAUGCUUAGAUAUGACAUAGAACACCAAUUGCGAAGGCAGCUUACUACGGAUAUAUUGACACUGAGGCACGAAAGCGUGGGGAUCAAACAGGAUUAGAUACCCUGGUAGUCCACGCCCUAAACGAUGGAUACUCGACAUCAGCGAUACACUGUUGGUGUCUGAGCGAAAGCAUUAAGUAUCCCACCUGGGAAGUACGAUCGCAAGAUUGAAACUUAAAGGAAUUGACGGCUGAGAGAGCGAGACGACGACGAGGGAGGAGG